UUGGAGGAAUGUAUAGCGAUAGCUAAUUGCAUCGAAAAUAUGAUGCAAGAUCGAUUUAUUGAAUAAAAUUCUGGGUAGAAUUAUGAUUAUGACAUUGUCUACCCAUGUGUCUUGACCAAAUUACGUGCCAGCAGUCGCGGUAAUACGUAGAAGACUAGUGUUAUUCAUCUUUAAUAGGUUUAAAGGGUACCUAGACGGUAAAUCAAGCCCUAGACGGGACUAAUUUGCUAGAGUUACUUGUGAGGGGGUUUUAAAGUACUAAUGGUGUAGAGAUGAAAUUUUGUAAUACCAUUUUUCGAAAGGAAAGUAAUGGCACAGGUAUAGGCGAAAGCAUCCCCUUAUGUGAUAACUGACGUUGAAGGACGAAGGCUUUGAGUCGCGAACAGGAUUAGAUACCCUGGUAGUCAAAGCAGAAAAUAAUGAGUGUCAUAGAUUAGAUAUUAAAGUUUAUUCUAUAAAUGAAAGUGUAAGCACUCCACCUCAAGAGUAAUUUGGCAACAUUGGAACUGAAAUCAUUAGACCGUUUCUGAAACCAGUAGUGAAGUAUGUUGUUUAAUUUGAUAAUCCGCAAAAAACCUUACCACAAUUUGAAUAUUUAUAUCGUUGAUAUAAUUACAAGCGUUGCACGGCUGUCUUCAGUUAAUGUCGUGAGAUUUUGGUUAGAUCCAUUAAAUUAACGCAAGCCCUUACUUUAUUUUAAAAUAAAGUCGUUCCCCACUAGAUUGGAUAAGAUAACAGGGAUUAAGACAAGUCAUCAUGGCCUGAAUAUUGUGGGC
Molecule: ribosomal RNA, 776 nt
Filed under: Psora decipiens
Lineage: Eukaryota; Fungi; Ascomycota; Lecanoromycetes; Lecanorales; Psoraceae
Description: SSU rRNA
Rfam family: Bacterial small subunit ribosomal RNA
Source: RNAcentral